This 803-nucleotide ribosomal RNA is filed under the name uncultured bacterium. Its description in RNAcentral is "bacterial SSU rRNA". It matches the Rfam family "Bacterial small subunit ribosomal RNA", at positions 60 to 876 of the family's 1533-position model. The record is from RNAcentral.
AGUCGAACGAGAGAGAAGGAGCUUGCUUCUUCGAUCGAGUGGCGAACGGGUGAGUAACGCGUGAGGAACCUGCCUCAAAGAGGGGGACAACAGUUGGAAACGACUGCUAAUACCGCAUAAGCCCACGGGUCGGCAUCGACCAGAGGGAAAAGGAGUGAUCCGCUUUGAGAUGGCCUCGCGUCCGAUUAGCUAGUUGGUGAGGUAACGGCCCACCAAGGCGACGAUCGGUAGCCGGACUGAGAGGUUGAACGGCCACAUUGGGACUGAGACACGGCCCAGACUCCUACGGGAGGCAGCAGUGGGGAAUAUUGCACAAUGGGGGAAACCCUGAUGCAGCGACGCCGCGUGGAGGAAGAAGGUCUUCGGAUUGUAAACUCCUGUUGUUGGGGAAGAUAAUGACGGUACCCAACAAGGAAGUGACGGCUAACUACGUGCCAGCAGCCGCGGUAAAACGUAGGUCACAAGCGUUGUCCGGAAUUACUGGGUGUAAAGGGAGCGCAGGCGGGAAGACAAGUUGGAAGUGAAAUCCAUGGGCUCAACCCAUGAACUGCUUUCAAAACUGUUUUUCUUGAGUAGUGCAGAGGUAGGCGGAAUUCCCGGUGUAGCGGUGGAAUGCGUAGAUAUCGGGAGGAACACCAGUGGCGAAGGCGGCCUACUGGGCACCAACUGACGCUGAGGCUCGAAAGUGUGGGUAGCAAACAGGAUUAGAUACCCUGGUAGUCCACACCGUAAACGAUGAUUACUAGGUGUUGGAGGAUUGACCCCUUCAGUGCCGCAGUUAACACAAUAAGUAAUCCACCUGG